CAGAAAGGCCUGCUCAUGUCUGCAAGAUGAGUUUCUCAUGGCUCUGUGAUGAUAAUGUGUUGAUCCUUAUCCAGCAUGAGCUAUCUACAUCAUCUUCCUUGACUGCUAAGCUCUCAGAGCAAACACUGCUGCUGAGGAACAAAAGUAAGGUUUUCAGACUCGUUUUGGGAAGAAUCUUUCUCAUCCACCACUGCAAGCUGUAGAGGAAAUCGAGUUCACCAACAAGUGUCUUCAUCCUGCUCUGGAGCAGAAGAAAACCGUGAUUACCUGGCAGCCAUUAGUUUACCUGUAGUGGGAGGAGGGAGCCCAGGGAAGAGGAGGGAUGAGCAGAGGCUGGCACAUGGGGAGCUGUGCCUGCUGACCCCUGGCACGGGACCUAACUGCUGCAGAGCCCCAUCGCUCCACAGCAUCGCUCCUAACUUUUGUCAUGCUGCAAUGAAGCAUCCCUGGAGUUCUGCAAUGGUUCCUAUGUGGCUGGAGUGGCUUUCUUAUUUCAACCUCUUGAGCAUCGAUUGUUGAGUCGCUUCCUCAUCAUUAAAAGCUCGUCAGGGACAAGCUCUGGAGUUCAGAAGCUCUGUGCAGUCACCACGGCCUUCGGAUGCCCCAAGGGCACCAGCAGAGAGGAACGAGUGUGGCGAGAGCGCAGGCAGCUGUGAGCACACUGCAAUGUCAUUGCUGAUAUCUUCUCUGUGUUUUUAAAUACCAGUACAACAAAUGCCAGCACUGAACCAGAGGGAAAACUGAUGGCAUUCGGGGAUCACUGAAUGGAGGACUGGGCAUUCAGAGCUUCAUACUGCCCAGCAGUGAGAAGCAGACAUACGCUUUGCUGAUCUCAUGUACUCCUCCACCAUAAAAAGCUGCUCGCAGUUACAGUGAUGUUUCUAGAAGAGGAAACUUCAGGGUUGAGUUUCUCCUUUAGACGGUGCAAGUGCUCCCUGUAUUCUAUUCUUCAACCAUACAAAUGCUUAUAAAAUAGAAAUGUGAAUUGCCUCGGUGCUUUUAAAUACCUUAAAAAUAAUAAUUCAGGGACUCCUGUAUGAGAUGGAGCUGUCCCUCACUGCUUUAACCUGUGGAGUAGGUUAGCAUAACAUGGAAUCAAUUAUUGUACUAGACAUAUAAAACUGUCAGGUUUAAUACUUAACUGUAGUAUUUGCCUUGAAUGCUUGAUUUCCAGUCAUGUGUGAAGCUCCAGAAAGACAGAGAUAUCAGACAGAUUUUGGUGGAAGAAAUGACUUUGAGUACCCCGAGUUACAAAGGGAAAUCUGGAUGAGUGAUACACCCUGGGAAAGGAGUCCUUUUUCAAUCAAACACUUCCCAGUCCCUUAAAGUAAAGUAACGCAGAACACAAACUGCAGAACAAAUAUUAAGUUUCUAUUCUGCAUUGCCAUAGUUGAGACACCAUCUCAUUUCUUUCUCAGCUUCUCUGGAACCAGCUCUGCUUUAGCUGGAACAUUCUUCCCAUUCUUUUCCUUCUUUUUUUCUUAUUUCUGUACACAGAAGGAGAGAAUCAAACACAAAAGAUCUGCCUUGACUUUCACAGCUCUUCUAAUGCUUACAACUAAGCUUUAUUAUAUUAUUUAUUAUACACAAUGGAAAUAAUUAUUAUUACAGUCUUUCCUCUGUCAUGUGCUUUAUUACAUGACCUUGUUAUGGCCAAGGUUGCAAUCUGACAGUGUGCACUGCAUCGGUAGCGGUGACUGCUGGCAGGGAGUCCUUGGUUUGGGACUCUAAAACUGAUGGAUUAAACAGCAUUAAGGACAGUGAAGUGCUAAUACUGCGGUAAUGGACACUGUAAUAUUUCAAAAUAGCUCACAAGUAGAACCAAAACAAUCCAUUGGGCCACUCAAAUCAUGCAGGGUCUGGUUGGAAGCUCCUGGCCAUCUGACAGCUUUGGUGUAUUGCUGUAAGUCCAGAAGCACUUGCUACCUGUAGUCCAUAAUAAGUUGGUAACAAAGAGUGAUAACAGUAUGAAGUGGAAGAGAUAUUCAUCUUGGCGUAUUUCAAUCUAGAAGUGACAAUCCUGGAUUGAUUCAUUCUCUGAGGAAUAAACCUCCUCUUACAAAAAAAAAAAAAGAAAAGAAAAAACAAGUUUAAAGAAACCAGGAUUUAUCCUCAAGAUCACCACUCAUUUUCUUUUAGAAAUUACAUUCUAGACAAUAAGAGAUCACAGACCUGUAAAUUGCAUUUUAACUUUCAGGUAACAUACUAGGGCUAUAACAAAAUCUGAGGACUAUUAUCAUAGCAAAAUAACUGUAAUGCUUCAAGGCUGUAAUAACCAUCUCCUUUUUAUCAUCCAUACUACCAUCAGGCCAAGAAACAGUGAAUUUCUUUAACGUUAUUCUGCCAUAACCUUUAACUAUAUGCAUUAUUUCAAACACCUGGAAUAAUACUUUAUAUGGCACAACAGAAUAAUACAUUUGCCACUCACUGCACAGCAUAGUUGGCUAAACCCAAAUGAGUACAAAUGCUUAAAUCUGCUGUGCGUAUCGUAGAUAUACAUCUAUUCCUUCUACUGUGCUGUGGACUGACCUUUACGUGACAAGGAAGUUGAAGGAACAUUAGAAAGCAUAAGGUUUGUACUUAAAGUCAAUGAAGGCUCUUUCAGUUAUAUCAUCAUUAUAAAACUGUACUGCUUACCUGGUUUUGGGAGGGCUGUACUUGGCUAGCUCACACACACUUUAUGUGGAAUCUACAGCAUAAAUACUCUGUGGGUUCAUUGUAAAAAUAUGUUUGUGAUAUACCUUUCUGGUGUCCUUUGUGUUCUUUCGUGAAGUGUUUAUUCCUGUUAUAUCAAGUAGGUGCUAAUGCAUAAUACCAACACCAUACAUAGAGCAUCUUGAUAAAUAAUCAUGCAUAUGCUCCAGUGGUUUUCUACAUAAAUGCUCCUAUAUAUAAGUUACUACAGCCCAGGGCCCUGAAUGGAUCAAAUUUGUAAACACAUCACUAUAUUUCUUACCUCUAUUGAAGUGUAUUAUGAUAGCAGUGCUGGCAUUUAUCUAGACUGUUGAUAUAAAGGUUUCUACCCACACGAGCAAUGCAUAUUGCAUUAUGCAAUUCUGUAAUAAACUGCUUGAAAUAUUACCAGAGACAGAGCAUGCUGGAAAACAUUGAGUGAGCCCUGAGGUGGAAUGGUUCCUACUGAGUACAGAGCACUUUGGAUCAGGCCUUGGAGGAUACUACCUAUAAAAUAACACAUUUGAAGAACUUAAUUGUGAUUUCCUCAAUGUCACCCUGUCACUCUGAAAACCGGAUGCUUUAGUUCAAUGAAAGAUCUCAGCAGUGCAGUACAGCUUUUCGUCAAAGUUUAACUGCUUCAAAGAAUUUGGAAACUUCAUUUCUAUGAAGUCGGGCAUGGCCUUGAGUUGUACUAAAGGACUUCAUGUCACUGUGAGCACGUAAACACAGUGGCAAGGUUUUGGUUCUUCAGUUUGGUGGGAGCGGCUUUAUGCUUCUGUAGGAAACUUGUCCAAGAGAUCUUUGCUUCCAAAAUCUGCUUAGAGAAUCAGCCUCCACCACAGGGUGCCAGGAAGGACACCUGUGGUGUUCAGCCUGAAUGAAAAAUAACAGAGCUCCAAAGCUGUUAUAUUAUUGUUCCACAUCUCCUCUGCAGCAGCACACAGCUGGUGGUGACGCGGGAAUGAGGUCCCAGCAAAUCAAGGUUUAUUGGAAUAUUUUUCAACUGCACUAAGGAAAAGGGAUUUGGAUCUAAAGGGUACAGGCGUAGCACAAGGGGCAGCUACUCUCCUACUGGGCAAGCACAAAGUUAUUGGACCUCAGUCUAAUUUUUCUGUGAUUUCUUCUGUGACCUUUUACAAACUACACAGAGUCUGCCCAAGGAAAUCACAAAAUGAUUUCUAUUGGCUUCACUGGGUGAGAGAUUAAGGUUCUAAUUUCUCUUUGAAUCAGUGUUCUCAUUAGUAAAUUACUAGCCUCAAAGCUUAAUGUUUCCAACGCUCUUCAGUAUCCUUGAAGGGAAAUUGAUACUGGAAUGUUAACUGUCCUCAUUGCCAACAGCCAUAUAGCAUACAAAUCUAGAUUAAUAUGAGCAUUUCACUGGUGAUGACAGCACUGUAAAAUCCAUACCUAUGUUCCCACUAACCUAGAAGAACUAGACAAGAGUCAAAGAGAUUAAACGUAAUAGCUAAAGAGAAAGCUGAUUUCUCAGCAGGUGCCUUGUAUUUCCUGCAG
This 4188-nucleotide long non-coding RNA is filed under the name Gallus gallus (chicken). RNAcentral describes it as "lncRNA (ENSGALG00010022563.1)". Lineage: Eukaryota; Metazoa; Chordata; Aves; Galliformes; Phasianidae. The record is from RNAcentral.